Molecule: long non-coding RNA, 309 nt
Organism: Malurus melanocephalus (red-backed fairy wren)
Lineage: Eukaryota; Metazoa; Chordata; Aves; Passeriformes; Maluridae
Exons: 4
Source: RefSeq, a predicted model, not a curated record
CGGAAGCGCCCAGCCCCGGCCAUGGCGCGGCGCGUCGUGAGGGGGCUGCUGCUGCUGGAGGCGGCGGGGCUGCUGGGCGCCCUCCUGCUCUACCGCGCCAUGGACCGCAGCCAAGAUUUCAGAUACACAAUGCAGAAGAGGUUUCCAUCAAUUCUGGAAGUUUAUUACAAAUCCAAUGAGUGGUCUGGAAUUCAUGGCAUAAGGGAGAAUGACCAAAUGGCAUGGUUAAGCAGCAAGAACUGAACCCUCUGUGCCUGAACUGUUUCUUCUUUUUGAUGAUGCUUUUCACAUCCCUGUUGUGAAGCCACU